Molecule: non-coding RNA, 103 nt
Organism: Chelonoidis abingdonii (Abingdon island giant tortoise)
Lineage: Eukaryota; Metazoa; Chordata; Testudines; Testudinidae
Source: RefSeq, a predicted model, not a curated record
UGAAGAAUCCCCCUAGCUGUCACCUGAGCUGUGAUAGAUAGGAUGCUUUAGAGUGGGCCAGAAGGCCCACAAGAUAGGCUGAGCAGAUGAUCCCAUGCUUGAU